UCCCGGAAACUUUUGUUCACAUCCCAGCUGU
Molecule: non-coding RNA, 31 nt
Filed under: Mus musculus (house mouse)
Lineage: Eukaryota; Metazoa; Chordata; Mammalia; Rodentia; Muridae
Source: RNAcentral